CCUACGGGAGGCAGCAGUGAGGAAUAUUGGUCAAUGGACGCAAGUCUGAACCAGCCAUGUCGCGUGCAGGAAGACGGCUCUAUGAGUUGUAAACUGCUUUUGUACGAGGGUAAACGCAUACACGCGUAUCUGUCUGAAAGUAUCGUAUGAAUAAGGAUCGGCUAACUCCGUGCCAGCAGCCGCGGUAAUACGGAGGAUGCAAGCGUUAUCCGGAUUUAUUGGGUUUAAAGGGUGCGUAGGUGGUCGGAUAAGUUAGAGGUGAAAUCCUGAGGCUCAACUUCGGAAUUGCCUUUGAUACUGGUCGGCGAGAGAGUGGUUGCGGUAGGCGGAAUGUAUGGUGUAGCGGUGAAAUGCUUAGAGAUCAUACAGAACACCGAUUGCGAAGGCAGCUUACCAAGCUACUUCUGACACUGAGGCACGAAAGCGUGGGGAGCAAACAGGAUUAGAUACCCGAGUAGUC
RNAcentral lists this ribosomal RNA (460 nucleotides) under uncultured bacterium. RNAcentral describes it as "partial 16S ribosomal RNA". It matches the Rfam family "Bacterial small subunit ribosomal RNA", at positions 338 to 795 of the family's 1533-position model. The record is from RNAcentral.